Molecule: long non-coding RNA, 660 nt
Filed under: Homo sapiens (human)
Lineage: Eukaryota; Metazoa; Chordata; Mammalia; Primates; Hominidae
Description: HSALNT0051481
Source: RNAcentral
GGGGGGGGGUGUGUGGGGAGGGGACAUUUGAAAAGGAUGUUACAUUUUUUUUUUAAUCUUCCUUUACACUCACACUGAAGGUCAGAGCUGCAAUGCAAUAUGGAUUCUCGGGCUUCUGCCCAGUGCAUGGCUACAUGGUCUCUACAGUUUCCUAGUCAUGCAAGUGUGAUGGGAGAAAGGCUGUACUUUAGCUGCACUCAGUUCUCAGUGCCACUCCCGGAGAGAGCAGGACCCUGUUUAGGGUGAUGACCCCAUAGUGGGUAGAAACUCUGAAGUACAGAGGGACUCUGGAUGUUGCCCGCUUAGAAAGGAAAGAGUUUGCCCCAAUGGAGGUCAAAAGCAUCACUCCACAGUCUGAAAGGGGAGGGGGAGAAUGCACAGUCUUCUAUCACCCAGGGAAUUAAAUUAAAUUCACUGCAGAACACAGUUGGGAUGUGUUCACUGAAAGCAGAGGCAUACAUACACAGGGUGGCAGAACCGCUGCUGGCCAAGGUGAAGGGGCCAGAGCUGUAUGUGGAGAGGUGGAAGAUGCUUCAUGAGCUAAAUCCCAAUCCCAGGGGAGCUGGUAAGACCAUGGUCAACUCAGUGUUCAUGACAGACACACUUAACCUUAUCUGCUAUUUGGUGAGAGCAGGACACGCAAAAGUGUGUUGUGAGGUA